Molecule: long non-coding RNA, 1672 nt
Filed under: Gallus gallus (chicken)
Lineage: Eukaryota; Metazoa; Chordata; Aves; Galliformes; Phasianidae
Source: RNAcentral
UGCUGCAUAAGUAUGGACCACAAUGCUUUCUGCUUGAAGAUGAUUGAUUAAAAGAGGAAUAGAUAACAACAGUUGCUCUUUAGGUACUUGGUUUCUAAAAAUCAUGAUAUAUUUGAUACCAUCAGCUUUUAGCACUGGAAAUUCAUUCACACUAGCUGACUUUAAGUCAGGCUGAAUGUGAUUCACAAAGAAUUCUGUCAGAUUAACAAGUUCAUUGGCUUGUGUUAUUCCAUGCUUCUGUGUCUGAGCCUUGGAUGCCAACGAUGUAACAAGGUAUAUAGCUGCAUCUUUGUGCUUCCAGUUAACAGAUGGAUUCUUUGCAUAUUCCUGAAGCAUGGAAUUAACGUAUCCAGAAAAAAUUCCUGUCACAGGCCCUUCAAAGAACUUGCACAAGCCUCUGACCAGAUCACAAGCUGCUCUGCGCCUUGUGUCAAUAUCAGAUCCUUCCAAAUCCCUUCUUAUAUAUUCUUCAGAAUUAUCUUCAAAUGCUUCUUCAUCAGCAGCUCUAAAUUCCAUGUUAGGAACAAUAACUUUUUCACAGAUGCUUGUCAACGUAUUCUGGUCUUCGAACAGAUGCUUGUAAUGUGGUCUUUCACAAACCGAGGCCAGAAACUGGAUUGCAUUACUAACCAACAAAUCAUAUUUCACUUCCUGACCUGUUGUGACUAACAGAUUCCAGAUUGCUGUCACAAAACGUGGCAAGUAGGGCUGGAAUUCUUCGUCAUAUUUUUGAGCAUAUAGAGCAGCAUUAUCACAAAUCUGAGAUUUCAAGAGCUCCAGUAAGCCGGCUUCUUCUUCAUCAUCAGUCUGCAGAAGUUUAUUAUCUAAAGUUAAGAGACUAUGAAAAUUUGUCAUCCACGUUUCCAUGUUAUCUUCAAAAAACUCAGGCAAAUCCUGAAAAUUUAAACUGUAGAACAGCUUCGCAAUUAGAAUGAGAGAAGAAAAGAGAACCUUCAAAGCACUAGCAUCGUUUGCAUGCGUGCUGCAAAGGUCAAUAGUUGCCUUAAAGAGAUUUGUCAAGGGCAAUGCAAAGGCAUCAAGGACAAGUUUGAUCUCUGUCCAUAAUUCAUUUGACUUAAAUUCAUGGCGGUACCUUUUAAACAAAGAGUGAGCAGUACGAAGGACGCCAUUAAUGACAUGGAAGUCUCCACUUUGAAAGCGGUUCACCAUUUCUGUCAGCAAGUCUGGCCACUUCUGAGGAAAGUCUUCCCGGCCAAUAAUACUGAUGGCAUCACUUAACUGCUUUUGAAUUUGUUCCGGGCUGCUAAGCAUCAAGGGCACUAUGUUGGCUUUAAUGGCUAUCCUGUCUGAUUCAAAUAUUUUGUUCGGUUCAUCCUCCACAAUUCUCCAGUUCCUUUUGAUGUAAUUCUUGAAUGUUACCGACGCGCAGACUUUGAUGACAUUUUCCUGCGAUUUCUCCAGCAGCGUUAAGAGCAGCAAUGGAUAAUUCUGGCUUCCUUCAACUGUCUCAAGAAACUUCUCCGCAGGACGCCUUAUUGCAGGAUCUGGAUCCAGUGUUUUCUUUAGGUACUCAGUUAAGGUCUGUAAAUUGGCAUCGCUCAGCUCCAUUUUGGCAGAAACUGUCGGCCUCCUCCAAGCGGCGGCGGCGGCUCGGAGAGCUCCGGCUGCACUUCACAUUCAAACCGCGGUGAGAGGGCGCGGCGGCGGCACC